Molecule: ribosomal RNA, 1300 nt
Filed under: bacterium 28W531
Lineage: Bacteria
Description: bacterial SSU rRNA
Rfam family: Bacterial small subunit ribosomal RNA
Source: RNAcentral
CUUCGGAAUCUUGAGAGCGGCGUACGGGUGCGGAACACGUGUGCAACCUGCCUUUAUCAGGGAGAUAGCCUUUCGAAAGGAAGAUUAAUACCCCAUAAUAUAUUAAGUGGCAUCACUUGAUAUUGAAAACUACGGUGGAUAGAGAUGGGCACGCGCAAGAUUAGAUAGUUGGUGAGGUAACGGCUCACCAAGUCUACGAUCUUUAGGGGGCCUGAGAGGGUGAUCCCCCACACUGGUACUGAGACACGGACCAGACUCCUACGGGAGGCAGCAGUGAGGAAUAUUGGACAAUGGGUGAAAGCCUGAUCCAGCCAUCCCGCGUGAAGGACGACGGCCCUAUGGGUUGUAAACUUCUUUUGUAUAGGGAUAAACCUAGAUACGUGUAUCUAGCUGAAGGUACUAUACGAAUAAGCACCGGCUAACUCCGUGCCAGCAGCCGCGGUAAUACGGAGGGUGCAAGCGUUAUCCGGAUUUAUUGGGUUUAAAGGGUCCGUAGGCGGAUCUGUAAGUCAGUGGUGAAAUCUCACAGCUUAACUGUGAAACUGCCAUUGAUACUGCAGGUCUUGAGUGUUGUUGAAGUAGCUGGAAUAAGUAGUGUAGCGGUGAAAUGCAUAGAUAUUACUUAGAACACCAAUUGCGAAGGCAGGUUACUAAGCAACAACUGACGCUGAUGGACGAAAGCGUGGGGAGCGAACAGGAUUAGAUACCCUGGUAGUCCACGCCGUAACGAUGCUAACUCGUUUUUGGAUUUUCGGAUUCAGAGACUAAGCGAAAGUGAUAAGUUAGCCACCUGGGGAGUACGUUCGCAAGAAUGAAACUCAAAGGAAUUGACGGGGGCCCGCACAAGCGGUGGAUUAUGUGGUUUAAUUCGAUGAUACGCGAGGAACCUUACCAAGGCUUAAAUGGGAAAUGACAGGUUUAGAAAUAGACUUUUCUUCGGACAUUUUUCAAGGUGCUGCAUGUUGUCGUCAGCUCGUGCCGUGAGGUGUUAGGUUAAGUCCUGCAACGAGCGCAACCCCUGUCACUAGUUGCCAUCAUUAAGUUGGGGACUCUAGUGAGACUGCCUACGCAAGUAGAGAGGAAGGUGGGGAUGACGUCAAAUCAUCACGGCCCUUACGCCUUGGGCCACACACGUAAUACAAUGGCCAGUACAGAGGGCAGCUACACAGCGAUGUGAUGCAAAUCUCGAAAGCUGGUCUCAGUUCGGAUUGGAGUCUGCAACUCGACUCUAUGAAGCUGGAAUCGCUAGUAAUCGCGCAUCAGCCAUGGCGCGGUGAAUACGUUCCCGGGCCUUGUACAC